This 67-nucleotide transfer RNA is filed under the name Marmota monax (woodchuck). Its description in RNAcentral is "tRNA.Ala". The record is from RNAcentral. Lineage: Eukaryota; Metazoa; Chordata; Mammalia; Rodentia; Sciuridae.
GGUUGUGGCUCAGUGGCAGAGCACUUGCCUCGCACAUGUGAGGCACUGGGUUCAAUCCUCAGCACCA